GGUCGCUAAGACCCGAUGUGCCGAGAGGUGAAAUAUUUAUAGCCUGUAGAUGAGCUCGCGUCUGAUUAGCUAGUUGGUAGUGUAAUGGACUACCAAGGCGACGAUCAGUAGCUGGUCUGAGAGGAUGAUCAGCCACACUGGGACUGAGACACGGCCCAGACUCCUACGGGAGGCAGCAGUGGGGAAUUUUCCGCAAUGGGCGAAAGCCUGACGGAGCAAGACCGCGUGAGGGAGGAAGGCUUGUGGGUUGUAAACCUCUUUUCUCUGGGAAGAAGAUCUGACGGUACCAGAGGAAUCAGCAUCGGCUAACUCCGUGCCAGCAGCCGCGGUAAUACGGAGGAUGCAAGCGUUAUCCGGAAUUAUUGGGCGUAAAGCGUCCGUAGGUUGUUAUACAAGUCAGUUGUUAAAGCGUGGAGCUUAACUCCAUAACGGCGAUUGAAACUGUAAGACUAGAGUGCGGUAGGGGUCAGGGGAAUUCCCAGUGUAGCGGUGAAAUGCGUAGAUAUUGGGAAGAACAC
This 518-nucleotide ribosomal RNA is filed under the name Stenomitos terricola DRL_13. RNAcentral's name for it is "bacterial SSU rRNA". It matches the Rfam family "Bacterial small subunit ribosomal RNA", at positions 158 to 709 of the family's 1533-position model. The record is from RNAcentral. Lineage: Bacteria; Bacillati; Cyanobacteriota; Cyanophyceae; Leptolyngbyales; Leptolyngbyaceae.